Gasterosteus aculeatus aculeatus (three-spined stickleback) is the source of this 446-nucleotide non-coding RNA. Lineage: Eukaryota; Metazoa; Chordata; Actinopteri; Perciformes; Gasterosteidae. The record is from RefSeq and is a predicted model, not a curated record.
CUGGGAGGGUUAUGGCCCUGAGGAGAGAGCCUGGCGUCCAGCCGCGGACAUACACCCUGACCUCAUCACGGACUUCCAUCAGGCCCACCCCGAAUGUCCCGGCCCGCGGCCUCGGGGUCGGCCCCCCCGUAGAGGACGAACUUCGGCUUCCGGAGCCGCCUGUAGAAGGGGGGGCUCUGUCACAGGCAGACGCUCCCCGUCCCCGGAAUAUUGAGACCUCGUUCCUGCCUGCCUGAUCCUCAACGGUACUUCUGUCUAACUCCACGUAAUCCCGGCUUUCGACCACCCGCCUGUACUCCGGAUACGACCACGCCUGACCCCCUGACGGUGCCUCUGUUUAUCCCCGCUCUCCUGGCUUUCGACCCUCUGCCCGCCUACUGGACUCGACCACGCCUAACCCUUGUCUGUACUUCCACAAUAAAGCUGCGCUCUGCGCUUGGGUUUCA